UAGGGAAUCUUCCGCAAUGGACGCAAGUCUGACGGAGCAACGCCGCGUGAGUGAAGAAGGAUUUCGGAUCGUAAAGCUCUGUUGUUAAGGAAGAACGAGUGUGAGAAUGGAAAGUUCAUACUGUGACGGUACUUAACCAGAAAGGGACGGCUAACUACGUGCCAGCAGCCGCGGUAAUACGUAGGUCCCGAGCGUUGUCCGGAUUUAUUGGGCGUAAAGCGAGCGCAGGCGGUUAGAUAAGUCUGAAGUUAAAGGCAGUGGCUCGACCAUUGUAGGCUUUGGAAACUGUUUAACUUGAGUGCAGAAGGGGAGAGUGGAAUUCCAUGUGUAGCGGUGAAAUGCGUAGAUAUAUGGAGGAACACCGGUGGCGAAAGCGGCUCUCUGGUCUGUAACUGACGCUGAGGCUCGAAAGCGUGGGGAGCGAACAGG
This 429-nucleotide ribosomal RNA is filed under the name Bacteroidota bacterium. RNAcentral's name for it is "Bacteroidetes bacterium partial 16S ribosomal RNA". It matches the Rfam family "Bacterial small subunit ribosomal RNA", at positions 355 to 776 of the family's 1533-position model. Lineage: Bacteria; Pseudomonadati; Bacteroidota. The record is from RNAcentral.